Molecule: long non-coding RNA, 1265 nt
Organism: Gadus morhua (Atlantic cod)
Lineage: Eukaryota; Metazoa; Chordata; Actinopteri; Gadiformes; Gadidae
Source: Ensembl
CCUGCGAAGCCCCCUUGAGACUGUAACUGUGAUGAAGGGCAAUACAAACCCUUUGUACGUUUCUCGUCCGUGAUUGAUGAUCCAGGGCGAGGGGGGUAAAGAAGGAAAAACGGGAGCUGCAGGCCCCCGCGGAGACCCCGGUCUCAGCGGGCCCCCAGGACCCACAGGAAAGGGCAAAGACGGCCCAGAUGGGGAGCCCGGGCAGCCCGGCGUCCAAGGACCUCCAGGGCCGCAGGUAAUGCCCCAUCACAGUCCCCUGUGUGUGUUAGUGUGUGUGUGUGUGUGUGUGUGUAGGUGUUUGUGUGAGCGUGUGUGUGUGUGUGUGUGUGUGUGUGUGUGUGUGUGUGUGUGUGUGUGUGUGUGUGUGUGUGUGUGUGUGUGUGUGUGUGAGCGUCUGUGUGUAGGUGUGUGUUUGUGUUUGUGUGAGCGUGUGUUUGUGUUUGUCAGCGAGCGUCUGUGUGUAGGUUUGUUUGUGAGCGUGUGUGUCUACGUGUGUGUGUGUGUGUGUGUGUGUGUGUGUGUGUGUGUGUGUGUGUGUGUAUGUGCGCAUCUGUGUGUGUGUUUUCCCCAAUGUGAGAAAGCUUUGGGGUCCUGCCUCAAGGUGACUUGUGGAGGUAGCAUACAGAGCUGCUUUCUUUGUCACCCCCAAAUAAAUAACCAAACACACACAUUUAUUCCCGGCCGGGAUGGAGGAAACAAUUCAUUUCCUCUCAGAAAGAAACUAAAGCAAUUUCUUGAGCCGUCAUACUUUGACCAGUGCAGUGAUUAUGACCUGCUCUGGCCAGGAGAGCGAGGGCAGUGGAAGGGAAAGGCCAGACAAGGGGCAUUCGCUGGAUUUAUGGCGCUAAAUGGUUCACCCACAUCGCCUCCAUAUUUCCUCCCUUACUGAGUACCGAAAUGUCAACGACAGAUUGGAUUUUUUUUCUCUCCUUCCCUUUCUAUAUAUUUAUCAUAAAUGAUCAAUAAAGUGUUGUUUCUGGGCUCAGCCACCAUAGAAUUAGACCCGCACCACCACAGCCCAGAGAGGGGCGCUCCAGGCAAGGGCUGUGAUGGAUAGCAGCCUUUCCUCAGACUGUAUUCUGGUAGGUGUUCAUCUGUACGUGUCUCCCCCUGCGUCUCAGGGCCAGACCGGACCCUCAGGACCCCAGGGUGGGCCCGGACUGAGGGGCGUCCCCGGGGAAGGGAAGGUCGGAGUCCAGGUAGGGAUGGGCUUACUGUCAUGCUCCCUCUACCUUCUCUGAGCUGUCGUCCUCUGUGGUGACUGG